CCUACGGGAGGCAGCAGUGGGGAAUAUUGGACAAUGGGCGCAAGCCUGAUCCAGCCAUGCCGCGUGAGUGAUGAAGGCCUUAGGGUUGUAAAGCUCUUUUGCCAGGGAAGAUAAUGACUGUACCUGGAGAAUAAGCCCCGGCUAACUUCGUGCCAGCAGCCGCGGUAAUACGAAGGGGGCUAGCGUUGUUCGGAAUCACUGGGCGUAAAGCGCACGUAGGCGGACUUUUAAGUCAGGGGUGAAAGCCUGAGGCUCAACCUCAGAACUGCCCUUGAUACUGGGAGUCUUGAGUAUGGUAGAGGUUGGUGGAACAGCAAGUGUAGAGGUGAAAUUCGUAGAUAUUUGCUAGAACACCAGUGGCGAAGGCGGCCAACUGGACCAUAACUGACGCUGAGGUGCGAAAGCGUGGGGAGCAAACAGGAUUAGAUACCCUGGUAGUCCACGCCGUAAACGAUGGAUGCUAGCCGUUAGCCAGCUUGCUGGGUAGUGGCGCAGGUAACCCUUUAAGCAUCCCGCCUGGGGAUCGGUCGCAAGAUUAAAACUCAAAGGAUUGACGGCUGAGACGNGCGACGACGACGACGAGGGAGGAGG
Molecule: ribosomal RNA, 591 nt
Filed under: uncultured bacterium
Lineage: Bacteria
Description: bacterial SSU rRNA
Rfam family: Bacterial small subunit ribosomal RNA
Source: RNAcentral